Molecule: transfer RNA, 72 nt
Filed under: Camelus bactrianus (Bactrian camel)
Lineage: Eukaryota; Metazoa; Chordata; Mammalia; Artiodactyla; Camelidae
Also listed under: 1 other name
Rfam family: tRNA
About the family: Transfer RNA (tRNA) molecules are approximately 80 nucleotides in length. Their secondary structure includes four short double-helical elements and three loops (D, anti-codon, and T loops).
Source: Rfam by way of RNAcentral
GAGGGCAGAGCUCAGUGGUGGAGCGCCUGCUUGGCAUGCACAAGGUCCUGGGCUCAAUCCCCAGUACCUCUG